This 100-nucleotide transfer RNA is filed under the name marine bacterium AO1-C. It matches the Rfam family "tRNA". Rfam says of the family: Transfer RNA (tRNA) molecules are approximately 80 nucleotides in length. Their secondary structure includes four short double-helical elements and three loops (D, anti-codon, and T loops). Further hydrogen bonds mediate the characteristic L-shaped molecular structure. tRNAs have two regions of fundamental functional importance: the anti-codon, which is responsible for specific mRNA codon recognition, and the 3' end, to which the tRNAs corresponding amino acid is attached (by aminoacyl-tRNA synthetases). tRNAs cope with the degeneracy of the genetic code in two manners: having more than one tRNA (with a specific anti-codon) for a particular amino acid; and 'wobble' base-pairing, i.e. permitting non-standard base-pairing at the 3rd anti-codon position. Lineage: Bacteria; Pseudomonadati; Bacteroidota; Cytophagia; Cytophagales; Cytophagaceae. The record is from Rfam by way of RNAcentral.
GGACUCAUAGCAUAGUGGCUUAAUGCAGUCGGCUAUUGCCCGCACCGAUGAAAAUCGGUUUAGCAAAUAAGACAGGUGGGUUCGAAUCCCACUGGGUCCG